RNAcentral lists this ribosomal RNA (254 nucleotides) under uncultured bacterium. RNAcentral describes it as "partial 16S ribosomal RNA". It matches the Rfam family "Bacterial small subunit ribosomal RNA", at positions 524 to 776 of the family's 1533-position model. The record is from RNAcentral.
UACGAAGGGGGCUAGCGUUGCUCGGAAUCACUGGGCGUAAAGGGUGCGUAGGCGGGUCUUUUAAGUCAGGGGUGAAAUCCUGGAGCUCAACUCCAGAACUGCCUUUGAUACUGAAGAUCUUGAGUUCGGGAGAGGUGAGUGGAACUGCGAGUGUAGAGGUGAAAUUCGUAGAUAUUCGCAAGAACACCAGUGGCGAGGGCGGCUCACUGGCCCGAUACUGACGCUGAGGCACGAAAGCGUGGGGAGCAAACAGG